RNAcentral lists this ribosomal RNA (550 nucleotides) under Vibrio algoinfesta. RNAcentral describes it as "bacterial SSU rRNA". It matches the Rfam family "Bacterial small subunit ribosomal RNA", at positions 77 to 615 of the family's 1533-position model. Lineage: Bacteria; Pseudomonadati; Pseudomonadota; Gammaproteobacteria; Vibrionales; Vibrionaceae. The record is from RNAcentral.
CCUUCGGGGAACGAUAACGGCGUCGAGCGGCGGACGGGUGAGUAAUGCCUAGGAAAUUGCCCUGAUGUGGGGGAUAACCAUUGGAAACGAUGGCUAAUACCGCAUGAUGCCUACGGGCCAAAGAGGGGGACCUUCGGGCCUCUCGCGUCAGGAUAUGCCUAGGUGGGAUUAGCUAGUUGGUGAGGUAAGGGCUCACCAAGGCGACGAUCCCUAGCUGGUCUGAGAGGAUGAUCAGCCACACUGGAACUGAGACACGGUCCAGACUCCUACGGGAGGCAGCAGUGGGGAAUAUUGCACAAUGGGCGCAAGCCUGAUGCAGCCAUGCCGCGUGUAUGAAGAAGGCCUUCGGGUUGUAAAGUACUUUCAGCAGUGAGGAAGGUUCAUACGUUAAUAGCGUAUGGAUUUGACGUUAGCUGCAGAAGAAGCACCGGCUAACUCCGUGCCAGCAGCCGCGGUAAUACGGAGGGUGCGAGCGUUAAUCGGAAUUACUGGGCGUAAAGCGCAUGCAGGUGGUUUGUUAAGUCAGAUGUGAAAGCCCGGGGCUCAACCU